This 2433-nucleotide long non-coding RNA is filed under the name Homo sapiens (human). RNAcentral's name for it is "HSALNT0026338". The record is from RNAcentral. Lineage: Eukaryota; Metazoa; Chordata; Mammalia; Primates; Hominidae.
UCAAGUGCCGCCAUAGUGGGAGCCCAGGCAGAGGAGGUGCCGAGAGCCAGCGAGGGCUCUGAGGACUGCCAGCACGCUGUCACCUCUCACUGGGAUUGCAUAUAGAGCAGAGCCAGCCAUCAGGAAGAGGAGCAUUAAUAUGGAUAGAUCCACUUCUUCUGAACAAGUGUUUAAUGAUCAUAGGUAAACUCCUGGGAUUCUGAGGUCUGAGGCCAUGCAAAAGACACCUUGGAAAAUCAUAGUCAACAUCUGGACCUCUGUGUUCUUCUCUGCAAAAUGAGGAGGCUGAUUAAAUGCUGUUGAAGACUCCUUUGAAGCUCUAACAGUUUAUCAUUGAGGGUAUUUUGAGCAAUGCACUAGAUCCAUGAUGGGGCAGAAGGUGGAGGGUCGGAAAGAAUUGUGAGAGUUGGCCUCAAUGUUCUGUGAGGAAAAAGACCCCCAGCUGCUCUGCUCCCAUGCUUGUAAGCUGCUGGACUAGGAUCUUCGAGAGCCUAGAGGGCCCACAACAUCAGGGCCCCCCUGGUGGCUAUGAUCAACACUGUGAGCAGCUAACAUUUAUUGGGUAAUUGCUAUGUGACUGGCAUGGGUUUUUCUGCAAAUAUUCUUACAAGGUCAGGUAUAUUUCAUAUUUAACAGAUGAAGAAAUUAAGGAAGAGAGGGUAAUUAAAUUUCUUGAAUUUCUACUGCUUUUAAGUGGCAAAGCCUGGAGCACAGCUUUCUCUGACUAUACGAUGGUGUCCAAUAAAGACAUUGAUUACUGGUCCUCAUAUUAAUAUCAGGUCUCUCCAUGAACUUCUCAGCACUUUUCCUAGGAUCUUAGAUCCCUUUUGGCAUGGACAGUCUGAAAGUGCAUUUAAAGUAUUUUCAGAAUGUGAAAAUCUUCAUCAGUUCAAGUCCACAAACUUCCCCGUCUCUCAUGCUCACUAUUCUCUCUCAUCCUUCUUGACUGGGAUGUUAGGAGGGAAGAAAAUACAUCCAAAUAGAAAUCUUACCUGGGGGGAAAAGAUAAAGCACAACCUCCCCUCCUAGAGGUUGUGCAUUUCGAAGCAUUCCAUCUUUUUUGACUACUCAGGAGAGAGGAGGUUUUCACUACUUGGUAAUGAUUUGUCAUUGACCUGAGGCAAUUAUUGGCAAAACAAGGCCUUGAGCUAUUUCCAAGUCUCUCAAAACGUUUGGGUGAAAAACAGCAAAGGAGCCCUGUGAGGAUGUUGAGAUGGUUUAUUAUGUGGUUUGCUUAAGGUCACAGAGUCACUACACUGCAGAGCUAGCUGUGGAAUGCUGAGGCCCCAGGGGCUCCCUGUGCAACAGGCCUGGAUCCAACUCCUAACUCUUUCCUGCCUGGGCAUUCUCCCCUCCCUCACAGACACUGUCAAACAGCACCAGCCCAAGGCCCGAGUGUCCUUUGCAAAAUUCAGCUAACUCCGAACUCUCACUUGAUGCUCUGCUCAUGGGUGGAGAGAAAACAGGUGGAACCGCUUCUCUAUCAACUGAGUGAAAACCAGAUGAAGAAUAUCAGAUAGAUACUGGGGAAAAACAAUAUCUAACUAUUUCGUUAAAAUAGAUCUUCCCCUCUUUAUUGCUCUUAGUUUAUGAAAUUUAGAAAACACAUACAGGCAACAAGAAGUGCGUUCAAUGGACUCAGUAGAUUUGUGGAAUGCAAAGGAGCCUGAAGCUAGGUUUCAACCCGCCACUGCCACUUAACUCAGUCUCCUAAUAAUCGUCAGAAGGGAAAUUUUCACUCUGCCUGGAAUUUUCACUCCAGGCUCCAUGUUCUUGGAAUCACAUACAGCUCUAUGGACCCGGAAACCACACCUCCAUCCCGGAGCGUGAUGAACCUGUGCUAUUGCUAAAGCUCAGGCUUUAACACUGUCUGUGGAUCUCUGCAUCCUCUGCCAAUAAGGAAACUCUCUAUCUGGAAUUGCCAGCUGGUGCCUGGUUAUCUCAGCUCCAUGCAUCUGCUGUGAGGACCUGGAGGCGGCGAUGGGGCCGGGGCAGGGGAUGGGGAGAGUGGGGGUGCUCCUCUUGCUGUACAGAGGCUGCAGCUUUCACCAAAGCUGCAUGCCCCUCACCAGGGGGACUGCCCAUUUUACUCCCACUGGGCAUGUGAGGCUUCCUGGAAUUCAGCUUCAGUUCUUAUCUACCUUUUAAGACAUUUAUAUCUGCUAUUGUAAUUGCACCAUUUUUUGAAAAGUUAGUUGUUUUCAUAAGAGAUGAAAGCUCAGUAGAAGCUUUGUAAAAAUUCAGUGAUUCCAUUAAGGUGACUCUGAAAGCAAAAGGGAGGAAAAAAGAGUAAAAGAAAGAAAAUUAAAAGAUGGAGGGAAGGACAAUAUAAAGAAGACCACUGUUGUUCAAAAAUAUGUAAGCAAGGUAACUUGUAAAGACUAAAGAAAAAUUCAAAGUUUAACAUGAAUCAUCAUUUGAGUUACUUUAAAA